RNAcentral lists this ribosomal RNA (305 nucleotides) under uncultured bacterium. RNAcentral's name for it is "partial 16S ribosomal RNA". It matches the Rfam family "Bacterial small subunit ribosomal RNA", at positions 508 to 807 of the family's 1533-position model. The record is from RNAcentral.
ACAGCAGUAGCCGCGGGAAUACGAAGGGGGCUAGCGUUGUUCGGAAUCACUGGGCGUAGAGGGUGCGUAGGCGGGAUCUUAAGUCAGGGGUGAAAUCCCGAGGCUCAACCUCGGAACUGCCUUUGAUACUGGGGUCCUUGAGUCCGGAAGAGGUGAGUGGAACUGCGAGUGUAGAGGUGAAAUUCGUAGAUAUUCGCAAGAACACCGGUGGCGAAGGCGGCUCACUGGUCCGGAACUGACGCUGAGGCACGACAGCGUGGGGAGCAAACAGGAUUAGAUACCCGCGUAGUCCCUGUCUCUUAUAC